UCUAUCCCACUCCCUUCCCGCGUCGCACCAUCCGUUAUUGUAACCGGAAAACAAAAUUCGUCAUUCUAAAAUAUUUUGAAAACCCCGCUUCCCAAAAUUAAUAGAGAAUCGUCGGCCUCCUCCUUCGACUACAUAGUUUACUGUUUCUCCGCCCUGUUUUGACCUCGCUCAUCUUUUCACCCCUCCAGUGUGUGAUUAGGGCUUAAGAAAUUCAGCAUCACGCAUUCACGUCGUCCGUCAUCCGUCCUCGUCGUCGGUCGUCGCCUAUUUUCACCGUGCGCAAUUAGGUCUUAGCGAAAGAUUUGAUUCGCAUCCUCUCCGAUCUCACAUAAAAUGUUGUGUAACUUUGCUAAAGGGAGGCGACAUUUGGGGCAAAAUUUGUACCUUCUGUUUUGAUUAAAUCGUUCAAUGGGAACUGUUUUUAACAUUUCUUUCACUGUCAUUCUUCUACAAUUUCAUAUGUUCUUUUUAAUUGAUUCGGUAAAACAAGAUAGGCGAUGGUUCUACAAAAACAACAUGCCUACGCUUCUCAUAUGGUAGCUCAUAGCUCUGUAAAUUCCAUCAGGUUCUUUCUAUUGAUUUUUGAGUUUGUCUCUAUUGAUUGUAUAUGUUUCUUUGAAAUCUGAAUUUUCAUUUUGGAAUUGCUAUCAUCUUUAGGGAGAAAGGUUACAUCUAUGCUUCAGUAUACAUUGAAACUUCAUUGCAAUAUAUAAUCAUCUGUUCUUUUGCUUUGAUUUGAUGAUGGUGAUAAGGAAAGGUUAGUUGAGAAAGACUUGAACAUUAGGAGUCCUUGGGUCAUACAAUGUAUUUCAAACUAUCCUCCAUUAGUCUAAUCGAUCCUAAAGUUUCAAAGGGCUGAUUGAAUGAAUCUUUCUUUCUAAUAGAUCUCUGUAAGUUAUUCCUAGUGAUCAAGUCAUUAUAAUUUCUUGAAAAACAUAAUAGCUCAAGUUGCAAAAAUCUGAUAGUGAUUAAAGUUUCUUAAAUUUCAGUUUUCUUAUAUAGCUUAAGGGUGAAGUGAAGUUGUCGAUUCUGAUUUUAAAAAUCUGAUAUAGAAAAUAUGAUGUGAUUCUAUUUUCUAAAUAAUCUUAUAUGUGUUCUUAAUUUCUCAGUAAUUUGAUAUGUUAUUAUGAUUAUUAUAUAAUCUAAUGUAUCAUAUUUGUGAGGUAAUUAAUUUUCUAAUUAAUCUGAUGUAUGCUAAAGUUCUGAUUGAAAAUCUGAUAUGUGAAUUCUGAUUUUGAAAUAUUGACAUGUGAUUUCUAAUUCGAAAGUCUGAUGUGUUUUUGAUUUCUGAAUAAUAUGAUAUUGUAUUUUCUGAAUAUUUGAUGUAUAUGAAAAUCUGAUAGCUUGUUUUAAAUUCUGAAUAAUCUGAUGUAUUUGAAAACAUAACAGGUUAUUUUUAUUUUCGAAAAUCUGAUGUAUUAAAGUUCUGAAAAUUUGAUGUUAAUUUAAUUUAUGAAAAUCUGAAAUGUUAAUUAUGAUACCAAA
Long non-coding RNA from Lactuca sativa (garden lettuce), 1485 nucleotides. RefSeq lists it as uncharacterized. Lineage: Eukaryota; Viridiplantae; Streptophyta; Magnoliopsida; Asterales; Asteraceae. The record is from RefSeq and is a predicted model, not a curated record.